AUAUUUUGUAUUAUUCAACUUGAAGUAAAAAAAUAGUGAUGACUAUUCAUACUACACUGAUUAUUUUGGAGACACUAACUGACUAAAAAUAUAGUAAUUCAAGGUGAGUUUAAAAAGAGAAGCAGAAAGCCUAGAGUCCUGGAGUUCUAGAUCAGUGUUUCCCAAAAUGUCCUCAGUGGAAUUCUAGCCUCCCAGAUGGUCUAAGGAAAGAAAAAAAAGAGAGUUAUAUGAUCAAAUAUAAGUUUUUGAAAAGGAUGUAUAACUUCACAAUGCAUAUUGGUCAGGAAAGCAUUUUGUUGUUUCUCAACCAACAUUUCUCAAACUUAAUGAAGACUAAACUGUUUUUUGUUAAAUACAUUACCUAUUAACAUCAUGUUGACCUAAGAAUUCUGAGGAAGAAUUUCCUAAGUAUGUCAGGGGAAAAAAUGCAAAAUAUAUUAACCAGUAUUAUUAUUAACUGAGCAAAUGAAUGAAUCAACAAAUGAUGCCACAUGAUUGUCACUUUUUCAUAGCUGUGAACAAGCUGGACAUAGUCCCUGUCACCCUGUCAUGUUUUAGAGUAAUUCUGUAGUAUGUACACAUA
RNAcentral lists this long non-coding RNA (583 nucleotides) under Capra hircus (goat). RNAcentral describes it as "lncRNA (ENSCHIG00010020045.1)". Lineage: Eukaryota; Metazoa; Chordata; Mammalia; Artiodactyla; Bovidae. The record is from RNAcentral.